This 61-nucleotide transfer RNA is filed under the name Gondogeneia antarctica. RNAcentral's name for it is "tRNA-His". The record is from RNAcentral. Lineage: Eukaryota; Metazoa; Arthropoda; Malacostraca; Amphipoda; Pontogeneiidae.
AUUUUAGUAGUUUAAUAAAAUUUCAUAUUGUGGUUAUGAAGAUGUCUUUGACCUAAAAUAA